Non-coding RNA from Cinara cedri, 466 nucleotides. The record is from the annotation of a GenBank genome assembly. Lineage: Eukaryota; Metazoa; Arthropoda; Insecta; Hemiptera; Aphididae.
AUUUUUGUGUAUAAUAAUAUAAUAUCCCAAAUAAUAUCUGAAAUACUAUUAAUUCGUUUUUAGAUUCUGAGUGGAAUGAAGAAGUUUAUAGUUUUACAAAGAUGUUUUUUCUUUUCUGUGGAUAACUUUUCUACCAGAGGACUUGCUCCAAAUUUUUACGUGUAGCAACUUUUUUGGAAGGAAAUCUGUGUGAGGAGGUACCUUAGUGAUGUCAUUUUUCAAUUUUCUCAGCAAAUGUGAUAAACUGGGAAAAACAUAGGAAAACCGGGGAAAUCGGUACAACAUUAAACAAAUAUUAUUAAAGAAAAUAUAUAGGGUUUUCUUAAUUAUUUUACUAUAAUAUAAUAUGAUAUAAAUAUUGUUGAAAAAGCAUCACUAUCAACUUAACUCUGCUCAGAAUCGUUUUUUCGUAAACAAUGGUAUAUUGUUCCUUACAUGUAUACAUUAAAUUAUGUAUAACAGUGGC